AGGAUGAACGCUAGCUAGGCUUAACACAUGCAAGUCGAGGGGCAGCAUUUUAGUUUGCUUGCAAACUAAAGAUGGCGAGCGGCGCACGGGUGAGUAACACGUAUCCAACCUGCCGAUAACUCGGGGAUAGCCUUUCGAAAGAAAGAUUAAUAUCCGAUAGUAUAUUAAAACCGCAUGGUUUUACUAUUAAAGAAUUUCGGUUAUCGAUGGGGAUGCGUUCCAUUAGUUUGUUGGCGGGGUAACGGCCCACCAAGACUACGAUGGAUAGGGGUUCUGAGAGGAAGGUCCCCCACAUUGGAACUGAGACACGGUCCAAACUCCUACGGGAGGCAGCAGUGAGGAAUAUUGGUCAAUGGACGAGAGUCUGAACCAGCCAAGUAGCGUGAAGGAUGACUGCCCUAUGGGUUGUAAACUUCUUUUAUAUGGGAAUAAAGUAUUCCACGUGUGGGAUUUUGUAUGUACCAUAUGAAUAAGGAUCGGCUAACUCCGUGCCAGCAGCCGCGGUAAUACGGAGGAUCCGA
This 521-nucleotide ribosomal RNA is filed under the name uncultured Bacteroidales bacterium. RNAcentral describes it as "bacterial SSU rRNA". It matches the Rfam family "Bacterial small subunit ribosomal RNA", at positions 26 to 537 of the family's 1533-position model. The record is from RNAcentral. Lineage: Bacteria; Pseudomonadati; Bacteroidota; Bacteroidia; Bacteroidales.